ACUCGCCUGCAUGAAGCCGGAAUCGCUAGUAAACGCGCGUCAGCCAUAGUGCGUUGAAUACGUUCUCGGGUUUUGUACACACCGCCCGUCACGCCAAGAGAGUCGAUAAUACCCGAAGGCGCUUGAAGCGUCCGAAGGUAGGAUCGAUGAUAGGGGCGAAGUCGUAACAAGGCAGCCGUAGCGGAAGCUGUGGCUGGAUCACCUCCUUUCUAGGGAGUAA
This 220-nucleotide ribosomal RNA is filed under the name Candidatus Veblenbacteria bacterium. Its description in RNAcentral is "partial 16S ribosomal RNA". It matches the Rfam family "Bacterial small subunit ribosomal RNA", at positions 1310 to 1533 of the family's 1533-position model. Lineage: Bacteria; Candidatus Vebleniibacteriota. The record is from RNAcentral.